CUAUUAUCCCUGGGCAGGACUGCUGGAUUAUAUAUGUAGAUGCAUUGGUAUUAGAAUAUAGUGGUGGUGUCUUAGAUUGUCUUUCUAUUGCAGUCAAAGGAGCUCUAGCAAACACUAAGAUCCCUAAGCUAACUGUUAUUGGAGAAGGAGAGGAACAAGAGAUAGAAAUAUCAGACAAUCCUUUUGACUCUACUUCAAUAGAUACAAAUAAUGUACCAGUAUUUGUCAGCUUAUCACUAAUAGGUAAUCAGUUCAUAGUGGAUGCUAGUCAUGAAGAGGAGGCCUGCUCUCUCUGUCAGUUAUCAGUUGGAGUCAACCACAAAGGAAGUAUAUGUAGUAUUUUAAAAGAAGGAGCUGGGAGCUUCAAGCAUAAACAAUACAAUGAAGCAAUAUCAUUGGCCAGUGAAAUUGGAGUUUCAGUCAUAGAGAAAAUAACACUCACAAGCAAUACUGCACCUGAAAAGAUGCUAUGAUAGUAAUUU
Long non-coding RNA from Amphimedon queenslandica, 482 nucleotides. RefSeq lists it as uncharacterized. NCBI's taxonomy places the organism in Eukaryota, Metazoa, Porifera, Demospongiae, Haplosclerida, Niphatidae. The transcript is spliced from 5 exons. The record is from RefSeq and is a predicted model, not a curated record.